UGUUCUUAGUCUGAUGACAUCAGUAUGUAUAAUCCAUCAAAUGCCUGUGUAGGCAUCUCACAUGUAUCGUGUGAUCAAUUUUGUACUUGACACGCCCACCUCUUAACUUGACACAGGAUAACCUUGGAUCAAGUAUAAGACUCGGACUCUCGUGUCGUUCUUGCUUAUCCAUUAGCAAAUAUGGAGGGGGUAAUGAAUUACCUCAGAAAAAAAGGGUUUCUGUUCUUCACUGAUAUAUUGAGGUAUGAUGCUUAGCUCUAAGGAAAAUGGGUUGUCAGUUUUCUCGAGAAAUUGUCGUAAGAGACUCCAGACUUGUAUUUGCAUAUGUCAAUAUUCUGUUAUACUGUUCAAUUAUAUUGCCCGUAGGGCGAUGCUCCUCUUCUCCCGUUUUGCAGAUGGGAGAAAACACAAGAUUUACGAUUUCUGAAUGAAAAAAUAAAAAAAAAUGCGGACAGGAGAAAACACAGGGUUUGUGUAUUCAUGGUCAAUUUUGCCAUAAUAAAAGAUACUUGGAUCUAGGGGUGAAAACGGAUCAGAUAAUAUUCGAUCCGAUAUGCUCCGAAUCCGUUCAAAAUGAGGAUAUGGUACGUGUUUUUAGAAAUCAGGCGGAAAUGAAUGCGGAUGCGGAUAGUAUAUAUAUGAUGCAGAUAUGGUAUCUCUAAAAUUCGAUGGAUGCAGAUUAUCCGACAUUUCUUUCAAAUUAUCUGAUAGGCCGUUUGCCAGAUAAUCCAAAAUUAUCAACACAUGUAACCACUCUAUCUAUUGCAUAUAACAUGAGCUAGCCCAUUCAAUAGCCUAAUUCAUCAAUUAACCUAAAUUUCUUAGUCUGAGGCUUUCAUCAUCUCAUGUCACACUUGCGUGGCUGUAUUUUUAUAUUAUGAAUAUCAUGUAUUCAUGUUGUUUAGCACUUAAUCAUAUAAUUAUUACGACGGGUUGUUCAUUGAUUAUUUUAUUAUUGCUCCUUGCAUUGCUAACUCGAUGCUGUAUUGAUUGCAUACACAUGUAACAUCCGAUAAAUUUAAUCCAUUUCCAAACUGAUUCUGCACCAUAUCUGACAUCCGAUACAAUCCGCUCCGCAUCCGUAUAUUAUCCGCACUCGCUCCAAAUCCGCUUAAAAAAUAUGGUUUAGGAUAUGGUAUGAUCACUAUAUGUCCGAAUCUGCUAUGUUUUCACCGCUACUUGGAUCCUUUUGAGAUCACCAACUAACUAAAGUUAUCUGCAAAAUAAUAGUACGAGUUUUGAUAAAAAAAAGAAUAGAAAGGAUGAGGAUGGUUUGAGGAUAAGACACAGGGAAGGCUUAACCUCAGAUGACACUUCCAAAUUUCAACGAAUAUGAUUUAACUUGCUGGUUUGGCGAUUAUUCUAGUGUGGCCACCUGAUUUAUUACUGCUGUAACAAAAAUAAAUAUAAUGCAUCAACCAAACCACAACGCGUUUCUCUGUGAGCGCUAGGGAGGCAUCUCGUGUGGCUUAAUCUCUUGCGCUCAUCACACAUCUUCCCUGUCAAAUAGACCACACGCUUGAAAAUUAAACACUAAAUUUUGGUCUAACUUGUGUUCCUGCCUAUUUUAUCCCGAGUUGUUGUUAUCCACCAUAGAAAUGAUUAGCCGCAGCUAAAAAUUGAGCUCCCAAUGCCUCUCUUUCAUAUUGUAUUGCUAUUUCAAGAGUGGUUAUUUCCAUGAUCUCUAGGCCUCUCUUUGUUUCUUCUCGAGUUUUGUGAAUUGCACCCCUUUCAUAACAUGGAAAUAUGGAAUGGAAGAUUCUGACUAUUUAUUGACAGUGUAGUCGUAGAGUGGUAGGUAUGCUGCCAUUAACUCACAAUCAGUGCGAGACAGCCUCUCUCACUCUGAAUUUUGGGUUAACUGAAGAGUGUCGGACAGCUACAGUAAUAUGAAGAAAACUGAAGAACUGAAGAACAGAGAUGCAAGCUCCACCUCUGCUGCAUCAGAACAGAAAAAACAAAACCUACCGACUGAAUUCUAGUACACCAGACUAUUUUCAGCCAACUGAUACAUGCUACGAAAAUCUAACAUGCAGACAACUGAACAAACUAAAUUGGCACGCAAGAUUACACCUUCAACUCCAUGAAGGACUAUCAAGAUGGUUAAUUACUAAAAAUUCAAAUGUAGAUCCCUGGAAUCAUAUCUAACACUGUGAACCUUUUAACUCUUUUAUUGCAUUACCAUGCUGGCUAUUCCUCCUUCUACAAUUAAUGGCAGUAUACCCCUUUGCAAAUUUUCACACAUAUGUUUGUGGCCUGCUGGAGUGGCAAUUGUUCUGGUUUUAAGUUGAAUUAUGGAGCGGUGAGUGAUUACUUCCACAAUAAAGAGAAUAUUGGUGCCAAACUACAUCACCUCCGCUCUGUUCUGCAAUUGAGGUAUGACGUGUCGCUUAAUUGGCUAUCCUCGGUUGUCUUCUCAUCAAUUGAGGAGACCUCACAGUUGACAAUUCACCUGAAAAUGUGGGUUCGAUUGGUGCUCCUUCAUGUUUUAUGUAGAAUCCUACCUAUAUCGUGUUAACAAUUUCUAUCUGCAAGAAGUUGAAUUCCCAAUGCCUUUCUUUCGUACCAGGCCAUGUUAUCUGGAGCACAAUUAACUUUUGAGUUUUAAUAUGUUCUAACUAUCAGGCAAAGCCAUGGUAAUAAAUUUCUCUAAAAAAAAUCCAUUGUCACUGGAUCUUCUUCUUGUGCCAUCCUUAGAGUUCUAUGAAAUGUCACCAACUAGUUACAUAGAAUGGAAGGUUACUGCUGUUUGUGAGGAAUGUGGUGGUAGAGUGGUGGAUACGAUGGAAUUAACUCAACUUACAUUUAUGAAACGAUUGCCCACGGCAAAAAGUUGAAUUCCUA
This is a non-coding RNA of Oryza sativa Japonica Group (Japanese rice), 2844 nucleotides long. NCBI's taxonomy places the organism in Eukaryota, Viridiplantae, Streptophyta, Magnoliopsida, Poales, Poaceae. The record is from RefSeq and is a predicted model, not a curated record.